GAGCUAAUACAUGCUAACACGCUCGACUCAGGAAGGGAUGUAUUUAUUAGACUAAAAACCAAUGCGGGUCCUCGUGGCUCGUUUCUUGGUGAUUCAUGAUAACUUUUCGAAUCGCAUAGCCCAGCGCUGGCGAUGUUUCAUUCAAAUUUCUGCCCUAUCAACUGUCGAUGGUACGGUAGUGGCUUACCAUGGUUGUAACGGGUGACGGAGAAUUAGGGUUCGAUUCCGGAGAGGGAGCCUGAGAAACGGCUACCACAUCUAAGGAAGGCAGCAGGCACGGAAAUUACCCAAUCCUAACACAGGGAGGUAGUGACAAGAAAUAACGGUACGGGGUCUUCAUAGGUCUCGCAAUUGGAGUGAGUACAAUUUAAAUCCUUUAACGAGGAUCAAUUGGAGGGCAAGUCUGGUGCCAGCAGCCGCGGUAAUUCCAGCUCCAAUAGCGUAUAUUAAAGUUGUUGCAGUUAAAAAGCUCGUAGUUGGAUUUCGGAGCGGGCCAGUCGGUCCACCGAAAGGUGUGUUACUGACUGGUCUGUUCUUCUUCGCGAAGACUACGCGUGCUCUUUGUUGAGUGUGCGUAGGAUUCACGACGUUUACUUUGAAAAAAUUAGAGUGUUCAAAGCAGGCUGUCGCUUGAAUACAUGAGCAUGGAAUAAUGGAAUAGGACUUUGGUUCUAUUUUGUUGGUUUCUAGGACCGAAGUAAUGAUUAAGAGGGACAAUUGGGGGCAUCCGUAUUUUGUUGUCAGAGGUGAAAUUCUUGGAUUUACGAAAGACAAACUACA
RNAcentral lists this ribosomal RNA (780 nucleotides) under uncultured marine eukaryote. RNAcentral describes it as "SSU rRNA". It matches the Rfam family "Eukaryotic small subunit ribosomal RNA", at positions 161 to 944 of the family's 1831-position model. The record is from RNAcentral.